RNAcentral lists this small RNA (626 nucleotides) under Ornithinibacillus halophilus. The record is from RNAcentral. Lineage: Bacteria; Bacillati; Bacillota; Bacilli; Caryophanales; Bacillaceae.
UAAAUGUAUAAAAGGAAUGGUGCAGUAUUCUAGUCAGCCCUCCGUUCCUGAAGGCGGGCCUAAAAAUCCGCCAAAGGGCACAUCGAUGAAGUUCCUUGUGUCGGCUUGAGGCGCCCAGCCUUGGGUCGGUGCUGGGAGUUAAGGUUUUCGGGCGAUCCACAAAGGCAUGUGGGCGUUGACCCGAUUUCCGCGGAGGCCCAUCUCUGUGGUGACGACUAAGCCUAGGAGUCUCUAUGGAAUGGGGUAUGAACCUGCAUGAAGUGGUUAGGGACACCUAACGUGCAGCGUAGCCUGCCUUGAGUGGUGUUGAGGGGAUUAGAGUAGUGAAUAACUAUACUAGGUGGCCACUAGCAUAGUUAUUUGAUCUCUAUGAAAUCAUCACUGCAAAAGAGGCUAGGGAACGGUUAAAGGCUGUUGAGGAAAUCUCCUAGACUGUUCUUUUGGACAUUUAAAUGGGAUUAUAGUGUGGACUAAGUGGUAAUCCAGUCUAGCUUUCGGUGACGGAGCUAAGGUGGGUUUAAAGGGGAACCGCCUUUCAUGGCAACAUGGGGUACCCAUUUGGGAAAACCUACUGGACCUAAGCCACAGUUUUUACCAUUUAAAUGGCCAUUCCUUAUUAUACAUAA